UCGCAAGAUUAAAACUCAAAGGAAUAGACGGGGACCCGCACANGCGGUGGAGCAUGUGGUUUAAUUCGACGAUACGCGAAGAACCUUACCUGGACUUGACAUUUACAGAAUUUUUCAGAGAUGAGAGAGUGUCUGCUUGCAGAAGCUGUAGGACAGGUGCUGCACGGCUGUCGUCAGCUCGUGUCGUGAGAUGUUGGGUUAAGUCCCGCAACGAGCGCAACCCACGUCGUUAGUUGCUAACAGUUCGGCUGAGAACUCUAACGAGACUGCCUGGGCAACCAGGAGGAAGGUGUGGACGACGUCAAGUCAUCAUGGCCCUUACGUCCAGGGCUACACACGUGCUACAAUGGGGCAUACAAAGAGCAGCGAUACGGUGACGUGGAGCAAAUCUCAAAAAUGCCUCCCAGUUCGGAUAGUAGUCUGCAACUCGACUACUUGAAGUUGGAAUCGCUAGUAAUCGUAGAUCAGCAAUGCUACGGUGAAUACGUUCCCGGGUCUUGUACUCACCGCCCGUCACACCAUGGGAGUUGAACUCAUUCGAAGCGGGGAUGCUAAGAUAGCUACCCUCCACAGUGGAUUCAGCGACUGGGGUGAAGUCGUAACAAGGUAGCA
This 612-nucleotide ribosomal RNA is filed under the name uncultured bacterium. Its description in RNAcentral is "bacterial SSU rRNA". It matches the Rfam family "Bacterial small subunit ribosomal RNA", at positions 886 to 1501 of the family's 1533-position model. The record is from RNAcentral.